GGGUUCACAGGGGGUCUACCCAUAAGUCCCCAGAUCCUUUUCCAUGGAUCCCCUGGUCCAUUCGAGAGAUAGAGAUAAAAAUUAGUGAAGAGAGAGAGAGGAGAGAAGAGAAGAGAGAAGACUCUCUCUCUCCUUUCCUCCGCUCCCCCUGUUCUUUCUCUUCCUCCCAAGCUCUCAAGUGGUGGACUCUGAGACCGAAGUUCCAUGGUGGUGCCUAUUGACCACCAUGGUGAUGACAUAGACCACGGCCACGGCCACGGCCAGUGAUGGUCAUGGAACAAAGCAAGAGGAAGAAGGUCAUGAAACAAAGUAUUCUCAAACCCAAACCAGUGGCUUGCCAGUCCAAAAUGGCAGAAACGGAGAUGACUAUGAGGCCGGAAAAAGGAAGAUAAGGAAGAGUGGAGUUGGUACCUCAGUCAGGCGCCACCCCAGGCGUGAUUCCGGCAAUCUAUUUCCGCCAAAAUCCAAGGAGAAACUCAAAGGAAAAAUCCGAGAAUAAAGAGGGAUUUCUUGAGGAAUUUUUGAUGGAAUCCCAGGGAAAAACCCAAAGCAAAGCUCGGCAAAUCGGUAGAAAUCCCUUGAGAAAUUGGUGAUGGAGUCCAAGGGAGAAGGAAAGAAAUCCUUUUUAUAGAUGGGAUUGUAGGAUUUGAUUAGGAUUUUCUUGUCCUAGGACUCCUAAUAGAAGUCUUCCUUUCCGUGAUCAUACGCCAAGCACUGGUUCAGGCUGUCCCAUGGAAUAUUACAUAUAUUUUAUCCAAACACAACUUUUGGCAAAAAGUAACUUAUGUAACAGAAAAGUAAUUUUCAGACAGUUACCAAACACUACUUCUCAACUUAAAGUAAUUUUCCCAUAAGUUACUCGUAGAAAAUAAUUGUUUAACUUGUUACUUAAAGUCAUUCAUAAGUAAUCCCAA
Molecule: long non-coding RNA, 914 nt
Filed under: Elaeis guineensis (African oil palm)
Lineage: Eukaryota; Viridiplantae; Streptophyta; Magnoliopsida; Arecales; Arecaceae
Description: long non-coding RNA (EGUI_LNC036444)
Source: RNAcentral